CCGAGCAAAACAAAAGCCGUGGUUUCUUGUGAUGCAGCGGGAUUUGUCAAAAGUUUUGCAGAACAAUGUACGCCGAAAGAAUGGCGAUAAAUUAGAUUAAAACGAAGUUGCUAGUUCGUGUUCGGAUACCGCAGUUCGGAAGAGACUAUCAGUUUUGUACUGUGCGCUAGUAAAAGUACUACCGGUGACUCACAAUAUUGGCUUCGAGGGCAAAAAAUUAAAGUUCAAGACAAGUCAAAUUCAUACCGAAUGUACGCUACUGGCAGCACUGGGUGAUGUUUUUGGAUCGAGUGUUUUCGUUUCGUUUACGCUAAGCACAGUUUCGCACGGAAUUGCGGCGUAGUCGGGUUUGUUGCGCUUCAACCGACUGGUUUGCGUAAAGGGCAGGAGAAAAACGUGUGCGCGGCGUUUUGUUGUGACUUCGAUCGCCGUGACGGUGUGUUAGGAAGGAAAUUGUGUGAUCUACAAACUGCAAUAUUCGAAAACGAUUUAUCUAGGCCCUUGAUUUUGAAACCCAUAUUACCGUCAAGCGCAGGAUAGUACUUAUCAGCGCUUGGGCCUCGGGGGGAGGAAGCGCUGUACCUUUCGCCUUCGGCGCGAGGUGUGCUUGCGACAGACUGAUAAAAUACGCCUUUCACGCCGAUAGGUGAGAACACACUUGUUGUUUAUUUUGUUGACUUGUGCGAAGCUGCUGAAGCGGAAUAAUCGGAGAAGACAUCGGCAGCGCAAAGACGAUUAACACUGGGGCGAGUUUUAGUUUAUGUCAGCAGAAAGCAGUGACGGUUAAUUCUUGGGAAAACGGCAAUCAAGGAAUAUGUCAACAAGCGGGAAAAAAUCAAUAUGCGCCAAAGUGGGUGGCCUUCGUCAUUGCAUGGUGGGGGCAAUUAUGGUUUUGUUGCUUCCUUCGGGAUCGUCCGGUAAUAGCCUGAUCCUGACCGGCGAAAAUUGCACCUUACGAGAGCCACUGUACAACAUCGCAUUCGACCUUAACCCUUUGAACUCGGAACUGGCCCAUCACGCCUCAUCGGACAACAAUGAGAAGUUUCUGUUCGAUGUGUGCGAUCAGUUGGAUGCCCCGUGCAAUGGCGUUUCGGGUGGUGCCGCCUGCCUGCACCGUAAGGAUGGCACCGAAGUGCUGUUAGGGAUGAAAUCCACCCUACAACUGGUGGAUGGUAGGAUACACUUUAACUUCAGCGGGGGCGAAGCUUGUCACGCAAACCAACACUACUCGUUGGAUAUAAUUCUGCUGUGCAGCUACACAGUCGAAAAGGAUCCUAUGAACGUUAUUCCGUACUCACCGGACCAGUGCAAUUAUUUCAUGUUCUGGAGAACGAAACUGGCCUGUGCGCCACUGCCGGAUCGGCUGAAGUCGAACGAGUGCGCUGUAACCGACAGCACCGGCCAUGUGUACAACUUGCUCCCGCUUAGCCACGUCAAUCAUCACGUUCCCGACAGGGACGGAUCGCACUUCUUUGUUACGGCCUGCAAACCCGUCCACUACGGUCACAUGGUUAUGUGUCCCCCGGGUGCUAGUGUUUGCUAUGUCAACGCGGAGGAAACUGAUUACGCGCGAAAGUAUCACGAUUACGGGCAGACGGAUCCGAAUCCGACCAUUGAGGAGGGCAAGCUGGUGAUGAAUUUGAAAUCGAAUGAAGGAAACUGUCAGCAUUCGAAGAUUAUUUUCGAAUGUGACCAGUCGGCUGUCGAGGAGACUCCUGAAUACAUUGGCAAGGAAGGUUGUACUUAUUUGUUCUCCUGGAGGACUUCGCUGGCUUGUAAGACGAAGGAGUCGUGUGCCGUCAUUGAUCCAAUCAGUGGAAAGCUGUUCAAUAUGACGUUGUUAGCGAAUCGGAAAUAUACGAUGGAAAAAGGGGAUCUCACUUACGAAUUCGGAAUUUGUAGCAUGAGUGCACAUAGCCAGUGCCCUGACCAAUCCGGAGCUUGUCAAGUCACAAAAAACAACACACAAGCCAUGAGUUUGGGAGCCAUCAACGACAAUCUGCUGUACAACAUCACCGGAGCACCGUUCCUCCGUUACACCUCCGGGUCGAUUUGCAACCCAUCGGGUCAGAGAUGGUCCACAAAAAUCGAAUUCGUGUGCGAAACCGACAAAGGAGAGUAUGCGCCGCCCAAGUUGGUGGAGAACACCAACUGUGAGCUUAUAAUACAGCUGGAAACAGAACUAGCCUGCACGAGGGAAAUUUCCUGUCUAGCGAUGAACUUUUCCAACGACGACGAGGUAGAUCUCAGCUCACUGAUAUCGGCGGAAGCCAAUUAUGAGGCACGAAUCAACGACACGUUGGCAAUAGCCAAAGACAAGCGGUUAAAAUUUUUCCUCAACGUUUGCCGACCCCUUCUGCCGAAGUUUGGCCUUGGAUGUCCGGGUGGUUCGGCUGCAUGUCUAGCGAUCCAAGGCCCAAAUGAUCCCACCCCAACGAACGAACUUUCGCUCGGCUAUCCGGACGUUUCGCUAACCGUAGUUGGGGAUAGAGCGCAACUCAAGUACCUCCGGGGUGACAUCUGUCCGGGUGACAACUCCACUGAACUGUCCACCGAAAUUGAAUUCUACUGCCGAACGACCGAAGGUCUAGGGUCACCGAUUUUGCAAGAAGUACUACACGAUUGCCACUAUCGAUUUGAAUGGCCCACGAGUGCGGUCUGUCCUAGUUUCGACGUUGCCUUCCGGGCCGAGGGCUGUGAGGUAGCCAACAACCAGACGGGUGAAACCUUAGAUUUUAGGAAGAUAUUCGAAAGGGGGGAGAUUUCGGUGCGCCCGGCUAAAAACAGUGUUUCGCAGGAACUGAGGGACGGAAAGAUCCAGAUUUGCGACAAGAUCGUUAGCGCCGUGGUGGAUUAUAGGGACCACUCGGUGAACGUGUACUUUGCGGUGGCCGAAGCGAGCUGCGAACGAACGCGAGGAUUUAUGAAAGUGAAUAUGCGUGUAGUUUGUGAGCCGGAUGAAAGCUAUGUCAUAAAUCAGCAAAGCCCGUGCCAUCUGCUCAUGACGCAAACGUCACCAAAGGUUUGCGCAUUCGUUGGUGCCACCGUUUCGAACCGAAGUGAGCCUCAUCCGCCGAACGAUGGGAACCACUCCGGCGCGACUGACAAACCAGCAAACCAGACGGACACUAAUAACUCGGUGACUGAUGAUGUCGGAGGCGGUACCGUGGGUAUCAUCUUGGCCGUUUUGACACUGAUUUCACUGGCGGGAGCAGCCGCUUUUCUGCUGUUACGGAAUCCAGAGCGGCGCGCGAAUAUGCGGGAACUUUUGCGGGGACGCAAUGUGCUCGUGCAGUACUCGAGGGACGGUAUCGGCGAUUAUUAGCCGGAUUUGUUUGCUUCCUGCCCCCACACAAUCUAUUGCGUUUCAUUCCGUUAUCCAGUUGCAUCCAGGUUCGCACCAACGAAGAGGCUGCCAGUCUUCUAAUGCAACCACCGGGCACCCUCUCCGAAAGCGAUGAUGAGAUGCUGAUUUAGAUACGACACAAAUUGCCCUUCUGUUUUUUUCCUAGCGCAGUGGUACAUAAUUUUACCGGGGUUUGUCAGCCUAGAAGCUUCGAGUGUAUUUUGAUUUCCUAAUAAUUUUGUUCACGAGCAAAGCUCGGAUCGAGUUACUUAAAACCAUACUUAAAAACCCGAUGAUUUCAAUGAGUGAGAUUUAAACUUAGUAGAAGAAUUGAGAAUGUGUUCGUGUUCAGUGUAAGAAAAACAGGACCAAUACGAAGGCAGCACUUUUCAGACGAUGAGUUACUACUAGAUAGGAUGAGGAGACGAGACGGGAGUAAAUUCGAACGUAAUUGACAGUUAUCCAUUCAACAACAUGCUUUAAAUAAUAAACUUAUAAAUAUAUUUUAUCUAA
Toxorhynchites rutilus septentrionalis is the source of this 3859-nucleotide RNA transcript. It is a transcript of the gene named cation-independent mannose-6-phosphate receptor, with no coding region annotated. The record is from RefSeq and is a predicted model, not a curated record. The transcript has 9 exons. NCBI's taxonomy places the organism in Eukaryota, Metazoa, Arthropoda, Insecta, Diptera, Culicidae.